This 31-nucleotide non-coding RNA is filed under the name Homo sapiens (human). Lineage: Eukaryota; Metazoa; Chordata; Mammalia; Primates; Hominidae. The record is from RNAcentral.
UAAGCUACGGUGUGGGCUUAAUAGCAGCAGG